GAAGGUCCCCCACAUUGGAACUGAGACACGGUCCAAACUCCUACGGGAGGCAGCAGUGAGGAAUAUUGGUCAAUGGGCGGAAGCCUGAACCAGCCAAGUAGCGUGCAGGAUGACGGCCCUAUGGGUUGUAAACUGCUUUUAUACAGGAAUAAAGUUAGCCACGUGUGGUUAUUUGUAGGUACUGUAUGAAUAAGGACCGGCUAAUUCCGUGCCAGCAGCCGCGGUAAUACGGAAGGUCCAGGCGUUAUCCGGAUUUAUUGGGUUUAAAGGGAGCGUAGGCCGUCUGUUAAGCGUGUUGUGAAAUGUAGAUGCUCAACAUCUGAAUUGCAGCGCGAACUGGCAGACUUGAGUGUGCGCAACGUAGGCGGAAUUCGUGGUGUAGCGGUGAAAUGCUUAGAUAUCACGAAGAACUCCGAUUGA
Molecule: ribosomal RNA, 420 nt
Filed under: uncultured bacterium
Lineage: Bacteria
Description: bacterial SSU rRNA
Rfam family: Bacterial small subunit ribosomal RNA
Source: RNAcentral